Molecule: non-coding RNA, 27 nt
Filed under: Rattus norvegicus (Norway rat)
Lineage: Eukaryota; Metazoa; Chordata; Mammalia; Rodentia; Muridae
Source: RNAcentral
UGAGCUUUUAAAGAUUCACAUGGGGAA